RNAcentral lists this ribosomal RNA (597 nucleotides) under Pseudomonas sp. Its description in RNAcentral is "bacterial SSU rRNA". It matches the Rfam family "Bacterial small subunit ribosomal RNA", at positions 211 to 797 of the family's 1533-position model. The record is from RNAcentral. Lineage: Bacteria; Pseudomonadati; Pseudomonadota; Gammaproteobacteria; Pseudomonadales; Pseudomonadaceae.
CCUUGCGCUAAUCUCCGAGCCUAGGUCGGAUUAGCUAGUUGGUGAGGUAAUGGCUCACCAAGGCGACGAUCCGUAACUGGUCUGAGAGGAUGAUCAGUCACACUGGAACUGAGACACGGUCCAGACUCCUACGGGAGGCAGCAGUGGGGAAUAUUGGACAAUGGGCGAAAGCCUGAUCCAGCCAUGCCGCGUGUGUGAAGAAGGUCUUCGGAUUGUAAAGCACUUUAAGUUGGGAGGAAGGGCAUUAACCUAAUACGUUAGUGUUUUGACGUUACCGACAGAAUAAGCACCGGCUAACUUCGUGCCAGCAGCCGCGGUAAUACGAAGGGUGCAAGCGUUAAUCGGAAUUACUGGGCGUAAAGCGCGCGUAGGUGGUUUGUUAAGUUGGAUGUGAAAGCCCCGGGCUCAACCUGGGAACUGCAUCCAAAACUGGCAAGCUAGAGUAUGGCAGAGGGUGGUGGAGUUUCCUGUGUAGCGGUGAAAUGCGUAUUUAUAGGAAGGAACACCAGUGGCGAAGGCGACCACCUGGGCUAUUACUGACACUGAGGGUGCGAAAGCUUGGGGGAGCAAACAGGAUUAAAUACCCUGGUUAGUCCA